This 251-nucleotide ribosomal RNA is filed under the name uncultured prokaryote. RNAcentral describes it as "partial 16S rRNA". It matches the Rfam family "Bacterial small subunit ribosomal RNA", at positions 525 to 775 of the family's 1533-position model. The record is from RNAcentral.
ACGUAGGUGGCAAGCGUUGUCCGGAAUUACUGGGCGUAAAGCGCAUGUAGACGGCAUAGCAAGCCAGGUGUGAAAUUUAGGGGCUUAACCUCUAAACUGCGCUUGAAACUGCUGAGCUUGAGUGCAGGAGAGGUAAGUGGAAUUCCGAGUGUAGCGGUGAAAUGCGUAGAUAUUGGGAGGAACACCAGUGGCGAAGGCGGCUUACUGGACUGGAACUGACGUUGAGAUGCGAAAGCUAGGGGAGCAAACAG